AGCUUUGCGCAGUAGCAGUAUCAUAGCCAAUAAGGUUUAUCUGAGGUGCAAUUAUUGCUAAUUGAAAAAUACCUGACCUUAGAGUGCCUGAGUGGCUCAGCUGUUAAGUAUCUGCCUUCGGCUCAGGUCA
This 130-nucleotide small nuclear RNA is filed under the name Mustela putorius furo (domestic ferret). RNAcentral describes it as "U4 spliceosomal RNA (ENSMPUG00000023789.1)". It matches the Rfam family "U4 spliceosomal RNA". From Rfam's summary of the family: U4 small nuclear RNA (U4 snRNA) is a component of the major U2-dependent spliceosome. The structure of U4 snRNA from yeast and human has been reported. U4 snRNA presents a k-turn RNA motif in the 5p-SL related to recognition of Snu13 protein. Lineage: Eukaryota; Metazoa; Chordata; Mammalia; Carnivora; Mustelidae. The record is from Rfam by way of RNAcentral.